Aethina tumida (small hive beetle) is the source of this 356-nucleotide long non-coding RNA. RefSeq lists it as uncharacterized. The record is from RefSeq and is a predicted model, not a curated record. Lineage: Eukaryota; Metazoa; Arthropoda; Insecta; Coleoptera; Nitidulidae. The transcript has 2 exons.
UAGAAACAUCAGUUUCAAGCAGAGAAACAAAUUAGUCUUAUUUUAAUCGUCAGACAAAGUGUAAUUUGUUAAAAACUCUUAAAGGCACCUUGUUGUUUGGAUCCAGCGUGUAGCCCUGCUGCAAAACUGCUUCGAUUGAAAAACAAAAUAAAAGGGUUGUUAUGUUCAAAUUGUGUGCAAAAAUGUCCAUGUGUAGCUCCAACGUGUGGUUUGCCCGUUAUCCAACCGAUGCCACUUUGCGCAUGUCCAGCAAAAAAAUGUACUAUUAAAUGUACACCAGCAACACCAUCCCCAGCUCCAGGGUCACCUAUUUUUGAAUUUUUAGAAUGUAUUCCCGAAUAAAUUUUUUACUGAAA